AGCGAACGCUGGCGGCAGGCUUAACACAUGCAAGUUGAGCGGGCGUAGCAAUACGUCAGCGGCAGACGGGUGAGUAACGCGUGGGAACGUACCUUUUGGUUCGGAACAACACAGGGAAACUUGUGCUAAUACCGGAUAAGCCCUUACGGGGAAAGAUUUAUCGCCGAAAGAUCGGCCCGCGUCUGAUUAGCUAGUUGGUAGGGUAAUGGCCUACCAAGGCGACGAUCAGUAGCUGGUCUGAGAGGAUGAUCAGCCACAUUGGGACGGAGACACGGCACAAAAUCCUCCGGGAGGCAGAAGUGGGGAAAAUUGGACAAUGGGGGCAACCCUGAGCCAGCCAUGCCGCGUGAGUGAUGAAGGCCCUAGGGUUGUAAAGCUCUUUUGUGCGGGAAGAUAAUGACGGUACCGCAAGAAUAAGCCCCGGCUAACUUCGUGCCAGCAGCCGCCGUAA
RNAcentral lists this ribosomal RNA (451 nucleotides) under uncultured bacterium. RNAcentral describes it as "partial 16S ribosomal RNA". It matches the Rfam family "Bacterial small subunit ribosomal RNA", at positions 29 to 523 of the family's 1533-position model. The record is from RNAcentral.